GACGUAGGGUGCGAGCGUUGUCCGGAAUUAUUGGGCGUAAAGAGCUCGUAGGCGGCUUGUCACGUCGGGUGUGAAAGCCCGGGGCUUAACCCCGGGUCUGCAUUCGAUACGGGCUAGCUAGAGUGUGGUAGGGGAGAUCGGAAUUCCUGGUGUAGCGGUGAAAUGCGCAGAUAUCAGGAGGAACACCGGUGGCGAAGGCGGAUCUCUGGGCCUUACCUGACGCUCAGGCGCGAAAGCUAGGGGAGCGAACUGG
RNAcentral lists this ribosomal RNA (253 nucleotides) under uncultured bacterium. RNAcentral describes it as "partial 16S ribosomal RNA". It matches the Rfam family "Bacterial small subunit ribosomal RNA", at positions 524 to 776 of the family's 1533-position model. The record is from RNAcentral.